This 478-nucleotide ribosomal RNA is filed under the name uncultured bacterium. Its description in RNAcentral is "partial 16S ribosomal RNA". It matches the Rfam family "Bacterial small subunit ribosomal RNA", at positions 28 to 523 of the family's 1533-position model. The record is from RNAcentral.
GACGAACGCUGGCGGCGUGCUUAACACAUGCAAGUCGAACGGUAAGGCCCUUCGGGGUACACGAGUGGCGAACGGGUGAGUAACACGUGGGUGAUCUGCCCUGCACUUCGGGAUAAGCCUGGGAAACUGGGUCUAAUACCGGAUAGGACCACUGCCUGCAUGGGUGGUGGUGGAAAGCUUUUGCGGUGUGGGAUGGGCCCGCGGCCUAUCAGCUUGUUGGUGGGGUGGUGGCCUACCAAGGCGACGGCGGGUAGCCGGCCUGAGAGGGGGAACGGCCACACUGGGACGGAGAUACGGCACAGACUCCUACGGGAGGCAGCGGUGGGGAAUAUUGCACUAUGGGGGCAAGCCUGAUGCAGCGACGCCGCGUGAGGGAUGACGGCCUUCGGGUUGUAAACCUCUUUCAGCACCGACGGAGCGCAAGUGACGGUAGGUGCAGAAGAAGGACCGGCCAACUACGUGCCAGCCGCCGCGGUAA